RNAcentral lists this ribosomal RNA (258 nucleotides) under uncultured bacterium. RNAcentral's name for it is "partial 16S ribosomal RNA". It matches the Rfam family "Bacterial small subunit ribosomal RNA", at positions 335 to 590 of the family's 1533-position model. The record is from RNAcentral.
UUGCCUACGGGAGGCAGCAGUGAGGAAUAUUGGUCAAUGGGAGAGAUCCUGAACCAGCCAAGCCGCGUGAGGGAAGACGGCCCUAUGGGUUGUAAACCUCUUUUGUCGGAGAACAAAACCCGGGACGUGUCCCGGACUGCGUGUAUCCGAAGAAAAAGCAUCGGCUAACUCCGUGCCAGCAGCCGCGGUAAUACGUAGGUGGCAAGCGUUGUCCGGAUUUAUUGGGCGUAAAGCGAGUGCAGGCGGUUCAAUAAGUCU